Molecule: ribosomal RNA, 434 nt
Filed under: uncultured Lachnospiraceae bacterium
Lineage: Bacteria; Bacillati; Bacillota; Clostridia; Lachnospirales; Lachnospiraceae
Description: bacterial SSU rRNA
Rfam family: Bacterial small subunit ribosomal RNA
Source: RNAcentral
ACGGGAGGCAGCAGUGGGGAAUAUUGCACAAUGGGGGAAACCCUGAUGCAGCGACGCCGCGUGGGUGAAGAAGUUUUUCGGAAUGUAAAGCCCUAUCAGCAGGGAAGAUAAUGACGGUACCUGACUAAGAAGCCCCGGCUAACUACGUGCCAGCAGCCGCGGUAAUACGUAGGGGGCAAGCGUUAUCCGGAUUUACUGGGUGUAAAGGGAGCGUAGACGGAAUAGCAAGUCUGAAGUGAAAUGUAGGGGCUCAACCCCUGAACUGCUUUGGAAACUGUUGAUCUUGAGUGCCGGAGGGGCAGGCGGAAUUCCUGGUGUAGCGGUGAAAUGCGUAGAUAUCAGGAAGAACACCGGUGGCGAAGGCGGCCUGCUGGACGGUAACUGACGUUGAGGCUCGAAAGCGUGGGGAGCAAACAGGAUUAGAUACCCUGGUA